AUACGGAGGGUGCAAGCGUUAUUCGGAAUCACUGGGCGUAAAGGACGCGUAGGCGGGUUGGCAAGUCAGAUGUGAAAUCCUACAGCUUAACUGUAGAACUGCAUUUGAAACUGCUAACCUAGAGUAUGGGAGGGGGAGAUGGAAUUAGUGGUGUAGGGGUAAAAUCCGUAGAUAUCAAUAAGAAUACCGAAAGCGAAGGCGAUCUCCUGGAACAUAACUGACGCUAAGGCGUGAAAGCGUGGGGAGCAAACAGGAUUAGAAACCCUAGUAGUCC
Molecule: ribosomal RNA, 274 nt
Filed under: uncultured bacterium
Lineage: Bacteria
Description: partial 16S ribosomal RNA
Rfam family: Bacterial small subunit ribosomal RNA
Source: RNAcentral